UACGUAGGGGGCAAGCGUUGUCCGGAUUUAUUGGGCGUAAAGAGCUCGUAGGCGGCUUAGCAAGUCGGGUGUGAAAACUUCAGGCUCAACCUGGAGCGGCCACUCGAUACUGCUAUGGCUUGAGUCCGGUAGGGGACCACGGAAUUCCUGGUGUAGCGGUGAAAUGCGCAGAUAUCAGGAGGAACACCAGUGGCGAAGGCGGUGGUCUGGGCCGGAACUGACGCUGAGGAGCGAAAGCGUGGGUAGCAAACAGG
RNAcentral lists this ribosomal RNA (254 nucleotides) under uncultured bacterium. RNAcentral describes it as "partial 16S ribosomal RNA". It matches the Rfam family "Bacterial small subunit ribosomal RNA", at positions 524 to 776 of the family's 1533-position model. The record is from RNAcentral.